AACGAACGCUGGCGGCAUGCCUAACACAUGCAAGUCGAACGAGAUCUUCGGGCCUAGUGGCGCACGGGUGCGUAACGCGUGGGAACCUGCCCUUAGGUUCGGAAUAACUCCCCGAAAGGGGUGCUAAUACCGGAUAAUGUCCUCGGACCAAAGAUAUAUCGCCUUUGGAUGGGCCCGCGUUGGAUUAGCUUGUUGGUAGGGUAAAAGCCUACCAAGGCUACGAUCCAUAGCUGGUUUGAGAGGAUGGUCAGCCACACUGGGACUGUGACACGGCCCAGAAUCCUACACGAGGGAGCAGUGGGGGAUAUUGGAAAAUGGGCGAAAGGCUGAUGCAGCAAGGCCGGGUGAGUGAUGAAGGUCUUAGGGAUGUAAAGCUCGUUUACCCGGGAUGAUAAUGACAGUACCGGGAGAAUAAGCACCGGCUAACUCCGUG
RNAcentral lists this ribosomal RNA (433 nucleotides) under uncultured bacterium. RNAcentral describes it as "partial 16S ribosomal RNA". It matches the Rfam family "Bacterial small subunit ribosomal RNA", at positions 29 to 507 of the family's 1533-position model. The record is from RNAcentral.